This is a long non-coding RNA of Oreochromis niloticus (Nile tilapia), 348 nucleotides long. RefSeq lists it as uncharacterized. The transcript has 3 exons. Lineage: Eukaryota; Metazoa; Chordata; Actinopteri; Cichliformes; Cichlidae. The record is from RefSeq and is a predicted model, not a curated record.
CAGAUAUCACUUGGUGUGCUCCAGACAUUUUCAUUCCGGGAAGCCUGCCUAUGAAAUGGAUCAAACAAAUCCAGACUGGGUACCAACGCUACACAUGGGGUACUCCGAAAUCCGAACAUCACAUUCAGACCGUCACAGGAGGCGAACACAACGGCAACAAAAAAAAGCACUAGUAGGAGGCUUUCACAAUGGAGCAGCAGAGUGUGAAGGUGAAGCCUCAGCAGAAGUUACCACAGAAGAGCAGCCAGAGAUGGACACCACAGAAGAGCAACACCAUAACAACCUUGUUAUUUUGGCUGAGGGCCAGAUUUGUGUUGGACAAGUAGAAGCAGAGGUAACGGGUGCAGA